RNAcentral lists this long non-coding RNA (1507 nucleotides) under Laticauda laticaudata (blue-ringed sea krait). RNAcentral describes it as "lncRNA (ENSLLTG00000016087.1)". The record is from RNAcentral. Lineage: Eukaryota; Metazoa; Chordata; Lepidosauria; Squamata; Elapidae.
CCCUUUCUUCCGACCGCCCCGAAGCCCUCCGGUCGCCGCUCCGCGGGCUUUCGGCCACGCUUACUUGCCAAGCUCCUCAAAGAGCUGAUACUCGUCGGUAAACCUGGUGCAGGUUGCGGUGGACGCCAUCCUCUCAGUGCGGCUCUUGCAGCCCCUGGGCGCUUCCGAGGAAGGAGAGAGGGCGGCGGAGGGAAGGUGGAUUCAAGCAAAGGGGGAGGCGGUCAGGGCGGAAGAUGGGAGGGCAAAAGCGCUGCUUCUUCGCCUCCUCUUUUCCUCCGGGCGAGUCUCUCAGUCACGCUCUUCCUUGGCAGCUUCUUGCGACUUUCCGCCUGGCUUGUUUGUUUGUGAGGCACAAAAGCGUGUCGGGAUAAGCACGUCGUCGGCAUGCUACAUUUUUACACGCGGGGAACCCUCCCGCUCCACAGGAUUCCUUGUCACGUCCUUAAACUUAGGUUGGAAGGCUGUGAUCCCGGCUCUGUCACGCUUUCAGACGCGACGCGGUGAGAGCCUUCCGCAUCCUCCGUGCAAACGAGGGUGCAGGUAAAUUGGGGCGGAGGUUGUCCCUGAAAGCAAGGAACAAAGCGGGAUUGGAACAAAGCUGGGGGGUUUCAUCCUUCCAGCGCCCUUCCGUUUCCAUGUGGAUGUGGUUUGGGCUUACACCAUCAUGGAUUGGUCAGCCCCAUUUAAGAUACUGUCAUGCUUUUCAAAGUUGCAAUGUCUGCUCUUCCUUGAGGAAGUCGCAGGUAUUCCACACUUCAGAUUCCUCAGCCUCGCCCAUGCAUUCAUCCUCUUUCCAACUGAGCUGAUAUUUUUGAAUACGGAAUAUGCUACUGGAUUUCCUUAAUUUGUGGGAAUUGCCUUGAGUGGGCUGACUGUGGAGCUAAUUAUGAUUUUUUUUUUAAAAAAAUCUAUAUUAGAAACCUGAUUCCUCCUGUUUGCAUCGGAGUGCAGCUUGUGGGUUUCAUUCCUGUUGGGGCUGUGCAUAUUUUCAUGAAUGAUGGCCACCCUUCCUUCUGGCACUGAAGUCGUGUUUUCUGGAGCCUUUCAUUGACACAAAACAAGCUCUUAAAAUUAAUAUAUAUAUUCUUUAGAUUCUACACAUAGGUUCCAAUACAGCCAAUGAAGUCAAGCUUAUAGAUAUCAAGGGAAGGAACAUUUUAUUUACAGAAACAGACAGAAUUAACACCAAUAAAUAUGAGAUUAUAAGAAAACUUCCAUUUCAGUGCAAUAUACUGUAAUUUUAUUGUACAUUUUAUACAGAACAUAUUAGAAUGUCUAUAAUGAUGACAGAAUGAAUGCAUUUAUUGAAUUAUGAGUAAUCAACCUAAGGAUAAUUUUUAGGGCUUGUAUGAGACAGUGUUUAACGUGGUAAAUUCUAUGUGUGCUUGUAAUUAAAAUAUAGGAAAAUAAAAUAUUGCAAACCAUUAAGCCACUGCCUUAUUUGUACAGCCUGAAAUGGCCAUGACUUUUGAAUAAUUUGUGUUAAUUGACAAAGGACAUUCAGAUU